RNAcentral lists this ribosomal RNA (216 nucleotides) under uncultured bacterium. RNAcentral describes it as "partial 16S ribosomal RNA". It matches the Rfam family "Bacterial small subunit ribosomal RNA", at positions 524 to 738 of the family's 1533-position model. The record is from RNAcentral.
GACAGAGGCCUCAAGCGUUAGGCGGAAUCACUGGGCUUAAAGCGUGUGUAGGCGGAUCGUUAAGUGUCUUGUGAAAUCCCCGGGCUCAACCUGGGAACUGCCUUUGUGACUGCAUAGCUAGAGUACGGUAGAGGGGGAUGGAAUUCCGCGUGUAGCAGUGAAAUGCGUAGAUAUGCGGAGGAACACCGAUGGCGAAGGCAAUCCCCCUGGACCUGU